GCGGAGGUGGUGAAAUUGGUAGACACGCUACUUUGAGGGGGUAGUGGCCGUUCGGCUGUGUGAGUUCGAGUCUCAUCCUCCGUA
RNAcentral lists this transfer RNA (84 nucleotides) under Bacteroidales bacterium. RNAcentral's name for it is "tRNA-Leu". It matches the Rfam family "tRNA". From Rfam's summary of the family: Transfer RNA (tRNA) molecules are approximately 80 nucleotides in length. Lineage: Bacteria; Pseudomonadati; Bacteroidota; Bacteroidia; Bacteroidales. RNAcentral also lists the same sequence under 3 other names. The record is from RNAcentral.